Molecule: small RNA, 728 nt
Filed under: Pan troglodytes (chimpanzee)
Lineage: Eukaryota; Metazoa; Chordata; Mammalia; Primates; Hominidae
Description: retained intron
Source: RNAcentral
GGACUCAGAUGAUCUCCCCUUGAAUGUUUCCCGCGAGACUCUUCAGCAACAUAAACUGCUUAAGGUGAUUAGGAAGAAGCUUGUUCGUAAAACACUGGACAUGAUCAAGAAGAUUGCUGAUGAUAAAUACAAUGAUACUUUUUGGAAAGAAUUUGGUACCAACAUCAAGCUUGGUGUGAUUGAAGACCACUCGAAUCGAACACGUCUUGCUAAACUUCUUAGGUUCCAGUCUUCUCAUCAUCCAACUGACAUUACUAGCCUAGACCAGUAUGUGGAAAGAAUGAAGGAAAAACAAGACAAAAUCUACUUCAUGGCUGGGUCCAGCAGAAAAGAGGCUGAAUCUUCUCCAUUUGUUGAGCGACUUCUGAAAAAGGGCUAUGAAGUUAUUUACCUCACAGAACCUGUGGAUGAAUACUGUAUUCAGGCCCUUCCCGAAUUUGAUGGGAAGAGGUUCCAGAAUGUUGCCAAGGAAGGAGUGAAGUUUGAUGAAAGUGAGAAAACUAAGGAGAGUCGUGAAGCAGUUGAGAAAGAAUUUGAGCCUCUGCUGAAUUGGAUGAAAGAUAAAGCCCUUAAGGACAAGGUAUUGUGGAAAUUACAAAUUGUGGAAAUAUUAGUAUCUGCAUUUAAGAGAAAGUUAUUUUGUCAACAAAUUAAGCUGCAGCUGGUUACUUUGUAACCAUUAGAAUGGUAAAAAUUUAAUUAAUGUAAUUAAAUUAUUGGGAGAAAGC